RNAcentral lists this non-coding RNA (24 nucleotides) under Arabidopsis thaliana (thale cress). The record is from RNAcentral. Lineage: Eukaryota; Viridiplantae; Streptophyta; Magnoliopsida; Brassicales; Brassicaceae.
ACAUGCUGUGGUUUCGGGCCUGGG